UACAGAGGUCUUGAGCGUUGUUCGGAUUCAUUGGGCGUAAAGGGCGCGUAGGCGGCGGGGCAAGUCGGGUGUGAAAUCUCAGAGCUCAGCUCUGAAACUGCACUCGAUACUGCUUUGCUUGAGGACUGGAGAGGAGAUUGGAAUUCACGGUGUAGCAGUGAAAUGCGUAGAUAUCGUGAGGAAGACCAGUGGCGAAGGCGGAGCUCUGGACAGUUCCUGGCGCUGAGGCGCGAAGGCCAGGGGAGCAAACGGG
RNAcentral lists this ribosomal RNA (253 nucleotides) under uncultured bacterium. RNAcentral's name for it is "partial 16S ribosomal RNA". It matches the Rfam family "Bacterial small subunit ribosomal RNA", at positions 524 to 776 of the family's 1533-position model. The record is from RNAcentral.